This is a ribosomal RNA of Microbacterium sp., 3104 nucleotides long. It matches the Rfam family "Bacterial large subunit ribosomal RNA". The record is from Rfam. NCBI's taxonomy places the organism in Bacteria, Bacillati, Actinomycetota, Actinomycetes, Micrococcales, Microbacteriaceae.
AAUCAAGUCUUUAAGAGCAAACGGUGGAUGCCUUGGCAUCUGGAGCCGAAGAAGGACGUAGCAAUCUGCGAUAAGCCUCGGGGAGUGGAUAAGCACACUUUGAUCCGAGGAUUUCCGAAUGGGGAAACCCCGCUGGGCGGCGUGCCGACCCAGUGACUCCCGCCUGAAUAUAUAGGGCGGGUAGAGGGAACGUGGGGAAGUGAAACAUCUCAGUACCCACAGGAAGAGAAAGCAACCGCGAUUCCGUUAGUAGUGGCGAGCGAAACCGGAACAGGCUAAACCGAGUACGUGUGAUAUCCGGCAGGAGUUGCGUAUUCGGGGUUGUGGGACUUUUCAGGCUGUUCUGCCGAGCAGCCGGCGUUACAAGAAGGUAUAGACGAAUCACCUUGAAAGGUGAGUCAUAGAGGGUGCCAACCCCGUAGUCGAAAUGCCUCUCUUGACGCGAAGAGUAUCCCAAGUAUCACGGGGCCCGAGAAAUCCCGUGUGAAUCUGUCAGGACCACCUGAUAAGCCUAAAUACUCCCAGAUGACCGAUAGCGGACAAGUACCGUGAGGGAAAGGUGAAAAGUACCCCGGGAGGGGAGUGAAAUAGUACCUGAAACCGUUUGCUUACAAACCGUUGGAGCAGCCUUAGUAGCUGUGACAGCGUGCCUUUUGAAGAAUGAGCCUGCGAGUUAGCGAUAUGUGGCGAGGUUAACCCGUGAGGGGUAGCCGUAGCGAAAGCGAGUCUGAAUAGGGCGAUUCAGUCGCAUGUCCUAGACCCGAAGCGAAGUGAUCUAUCCAUGGCCAGGUUGAAGCGACGGUAAGACGUCGUGGAGGACCGAACCCACUUAGGUUGAAAACUGAGGGGAUGAGCUGUGGAUAGGGGUGAAAGGCCAAUCAAACUUCGUGAUAGCUGGUUCUCUCCGAAAUGCAUUUAGGUGCAGCGUUGCGUGUUUCUUGCCGGAGGUAGAGCUACUGGAUGGCCGAUGGGCCCUACAAGGUUACUGACGUCAGCCAAACUCCGAAUGCCGGUAAGUGAGAGCGCAGCAGUGAGACUGUGGGGGAUAAGCUUCAUAGUCGAGAGGGAAACAACCCAGACCACCAUCUAAGGUCCCUAAGCGCGUGCUAAGUGGGAAAGGAUGUGGAGUUGCCUUGACAACCAGGAGGUUGGCUUAGAAGCAGCCACCCUUGAAAGAGUGCGUAAUAGCUCACUGGUCAAGUGAUUCCGCGCCGACAAUGUAACGGGGCUCAAGCACGCCACCGAAGCUGUGGCAUUGAUAUUAUUGGUAGGCCUUCGUGGUCCAGCCGUAUUGAUGGGUAGGAGAGCGUCGUGUGGCCAGCGAAGCGGCGGUGUGAACCAGCCGUGGAGGCUACACGAGUGAGAAUGCAGGCAUGAGUAGCGAAAGACAUGUGAGAAACAUGUCCUCCGAAAGACCAAGGGUUCCAGGGUCAAGCUAAUCUUCCCUGGGUAAGUCGGGACCUAAGGCGAGGCCGACAGGCGUAGUCGAUGGACAACGGGUUGAUAUUCCCGUACCGGCGAAGAACCGCCCAAACUAAUCCAGUAGUGCUAAGUGUCUGAAUCCCACUGACGGAUCCCUUCGGGGUGAAGCGUUGGGCCUAGCGCACGACCCCAUUCUGGUGCGGUUAGCGUAUUAACAGGUGUGACGCAGGAAGGUAGCCCAAGCCAGGCGAUGGUAGUCCUGGUGCAAGUGCGUAGGCCGAGAGAUAGGCAAAUCCGUCUCUCACAUAGGCUGAGACACGAUGCGGAUAAAAAGUGGGUGAUCCUAUGCUGCCAAGAAAAGCAUCGACGCGAGGUUCUAGCCGCCCGUACCCCAAACCGACUCAGGUGGUCAGGUAGAGAAUACUAAGGAGAUCGAGAGAAUCGUGGUUAAGGAACUCGGCAAAAUGCCCCCGUAACUUCGGGAGAAGGGGGGCCUUCGACGUAUUAGGACUUGCUCCGAAAGCGUUUGGAGGCCGCAGAGACUAGUGGGUAGCGACUGUUUACUAAAAACACAGGUCCGUGCCAAGUCGCAAGACGAUGUAUACGGACUGACGCCUGCCCGGUGCUGGAAGGUUAAGAGGACCGGUUAGCCGCAAGGCGAAGCUGAGAAUUUAAGCCCCAGUAAACGGCGGUGGUAACUAUAACCAUCCUAAGGUAGCGAAAUUCCUUGUCGGGUAAGUUCCGACCUGCACGAAUGGCGUAACGACUUCCCAACUGUCUCAACCGCGAACUCGGCGAAAUUGCAUUACGAGUAAAGAUGCUCGUUACGCGCAGCAGGACGGAAAGACCCCGUGACCUUUACUAUAGUUUGGUAUUGGUGUUCGGUGUGGCUUGUGUAGGAUAGGUGGGAGACUUUGAAGCAUGGACGCCAGUUCAUGUGGAGUCAUUGUUGAAAUACCACUCUGGUCACUCUGGAUAUCUAACUUAGAACCGUAAUCCGGUUCAGGGACAGUGCCUGAUGGGUAGUUUAACUGGGGCGGUUGCCUCCCAAAAAGUAACGGAGGCGCCCAAAGGUUCCCUCAACCUGGUUGGCAAUCAGGUGUCGAGUGUAAGUGCACAAGGGAGCUUGACUGUGAGACUGACAGGUCGAGCAGGGACGAAAGUCGGGACUAGUGAUCCGGCAGUGGCUUGUGGAAGCGCUGUCGCUCAACGGAUAAAAGGUACCUCGGGGAUAACAGGCUGAUCUUGCCCAAGAGUCCAUAUCGACGGCAUGGUUUGGCACCUCGAUGUCGGCUCGUCGCAUCCUGGGGCUGGAGUAGGUCCCAAGGGUUGGGCUGUUCGCCCAUUAAAGCGGUACGCGAGCUGGGUUUAGAACGUCGUGAGACAGUUCGGUCCCUAUCCGCUGCGCGCGCAGGAAAUUUGAGAGGAUCUGACCCUAGUACGAGAGGACCGGGUUGGACGAACCUCUGGUGUGUCAGUUGUUCCGCCAGGAGCACCGCUGAUUAGCUACGUUCGGGAUGGAUAACCGCUGAAAGCAUCUAAGCGGGAAGCCGGCCUCAAGAUGAGAUUUCCAUGCCUUCGGGCGAGAGGCUCCCAGCCAGACUACUGGGUUGAUAGGCCGGAUGUGGAAGCGCGGUAACGCGUGAAGCUGACCGGUACUAAUAAGCCGAUGACUUGAUAAC